UAGGGAAUCUUCCGCAAUGGACGCAAGUCUGACGGAGCAACGCCGCGUGAGUGAAGAAGGAUUUCGGUUCGUAAAACUCUGUUGUUAGAGAAGAACAGCGCAUAGAGUAACUGUUAUGCGUGUGACGGUAUCUAACCAGAAAGCCACGGCUAACUACGUGCCAGCAGCCGCGGUAAUACGUAGGUGGCAAGCGUUGUCCGGAUUUAUUGGGCGUAAAGCGAGCGCAGGCGGUCAAUUAAGUCUGAUGUGAAAGCCCCCGGCUCAACCGGGGAGGGUCAUUGGAAACUGGUUGACUUGAGUGCAGAAGAGGAGAGUGGAAUUCCAUGUGUAGCGGUGAAAUGAGUGGAUAUAUGGAGGAACACCAGUGGCGAAGGCGACUCUCUGGUCUGUAACUGACGCUGAGGCUCGAAAGCGUGGGUAGCAAACAGG
Molecule: ribosomal RNA, 429 nt
Filed under: Bacteroidota bacterium
Lineage: Bacteria; Pseudomonadati; Bacteroidota
Description: Bacteroidetes bacterium partial 16S ribosomal RNA
Rfam family: Bacterial small subunit ribosomal RNA
Source: RNAcentral